GUGGUGUUGUUUGGCAUUGGCUACACAAUAGCUAUGGUGAGAUCCUCUGAUUCCUCUGCUCCCCGCCUCUGGUUGCUCCGAUAGAUGGUCACAAUUUGGUUAGCAAGGGGUUGUGGGUCGAUGGAUGCUAUGGUUCCUGUGAUGUGCCUGGGGUUCAUGCUAAUUGUUGGUUAUGUUGCUAGUGCUAUAAUCCGGUUGGUUAUGUUGCUCUGCUGGGUUUAGGAUGUCGAAUUGAGCCGGUUGCCACUGCUCUAAUCAUAUAGGCAUAGUACAUGAUUACUAGCAAUUCUGUUCCAAUGUAGGUGGUAUGUGUUAAUCUGUAGCCCAUGUGUGCUGUGUCGUGCUCAUGUGAGCAGGAAAUUACCAUGUGUAUUUCUGUUGCAAAUGUGUUCUGCCCAUUAGCAGAUCAUGAUGAUAUGCUACAGUACAUGGGUUUAGUUAUAUGAAAAUGAGCUGAUUUUCUUAUCUCUACUAAGGAAUUCUUCUUGUAUGAGUUUCAGUUUUUGAUGUUCUGCGCACUGACAGAUCAAUGGCCUUCUAUGAGAACAAAGAAAAUCACUCAUUCCUAGUUGUGUACGCGUGUAUCGACAAACAAGUUGGUUAUUGUAAAGGUGGCUCGUUGCCUCCUAUUUGCAUAGAAUGCUUAUUUAUUACCUCAACUAGGUCAUUGUUGUUGAUGUACCUUACCUCAACUAGGUCACCUCAUGAUUUGUCCAAGCUCGAGUCCAUGAUUUCUAGUUUUUUUUUUGAUUUGAUGUCAAGAUUAUCUUCUUAUUUCUUUUGUCCUUCUUGUGCAGCAGGAUUCGAUUCGGUACAAUAAGGGGUUCGUCGUGCCAGGCUUCACGGCGCUGCUGCUUCCAUGUGACGGACUGACGGUGUUGUUUGGCAUCGGCUACAAAAACAGCCAUGGUAUGGUCCUCUCAUUUCUCCACUCCCCGUCUCCGGUGGUUGCUCGGAGCUUGUCGUGUCCAUCGAGCCAUCACUAUGUGGUCGAUCUGCGUUCAUGUCCAUUGUGCCAUUUCUAUGUCUGGUCAGGCUGCUACAGUAUGUCCUUGCAUAGUGAUGAUGUUACUGUUUCUUUUUUUUUGCUCGUUUGCUUGUUGGUCUGUCUGUUUGGUAAUUAUCAUUCUACCACUAGUCUUCCUGAUACAAACUUCCCAUCCCACUCAAAAGUCUGAAACACUUCUUCGCACUCAACAACUAAGCAGCACAGCACACCUGAAUAUAUAUGCGCAUCUGUAUAUACUUAGUUUCCCAUCACCCACAUGGAGCGGUCUUGUUUGCUUCGGGAUGUAGUAUCACCACUACCUGCCUGCCUCCUUCCUGAAAUUCUAACAGUAUAUAUGUGGUCUGCGUACCAUGAUCUCAUUAUGGAGUGGUUUUUAUUUCCAAGGAUGCCUUCCUACUCCUACUAGUUCCAGUGUCAUACAGUUUGAUUAAAUCGAAACGAAUCAUUCAUGGUUGAGCAUUUUGUUUUGAUGAUUCAGCAUAAGAUCCGAUGUGACAUUGAGUUCAGUCUCUCCUGCCUUAGUUUUCAAAUUCAUGAUUUUCUUUCGCAAUUCAUGAUUUUAUUUGCAUGAAGCUUGGUUUAUGGUUGUCUAUGGAUCUUCGCUUUCUCUGUAUGUAUGAUAGCUUCUGUAUUUAGUUGUUGUUUGGUCAAAAUAUUAUGAUUGGCGAAGUUGUAUUUAUUUCCAAGCUGGCAAUGCUUUAUAGGUGUCUCUGUUUACUAGUACUUGAGAGGGAAUUGGAAGUAGUUUGUUAACUGAAGCUUGGUCCUGCUCGACACCAAGGAGAGGCGCAAGGGGGUGCCUAGCACCGGCGCCGAAGAAUGCUGGUGCUCCUCUUCGUCUUCGACCUGCUCUGCUCCUUCAAGGUAAGCUGGUCCUGGUCCUUGACCUGAUCAUUGGCGUCGCCCAUGAGUAUGAUGCUGCCAUGUUGAGUCUGUAAUUUCAUAGGCACACUUGUCUUGCUGCAGUACAGAUUCGCCGUAUCAACAGCCCUGGCUAGUGUUGCUGGAUUUAUAUUGUUCUCCUUGGGCUGGAACUCGAUUUCAUCCCUUAUUUUUCUGAAAUGGGACAUGUCUUUAAUUUCUGAAAGAAAAAUGGCAAUGCUGACUUGGCAUUUGACGGGUGGUUUUGAGAAUUAGCAUUAUGGAAUUUAUGUUAUAGGUUAGCUUGAUUAAUCUUUACUACGGGAUUUCCUUCUAAGGAGCUAGUGUUGUUGGGUUUUCUUCCAAGGAGCCAGUCGGGUUUUCUAUAGUCAAGCAUGUUAGUCAUAGUGGGAUACAUUUGUAUGAGAAAUGUCUUGGACAUCCUGUUAAAAGCAACAGCAUAUGCUAGAGCUACAAUUAAUUAUGAAUAACAACGCUGUUUGUUUUCAGCAUUUGCACUUCGCACUGAAGCAAAGUUAUCAUCCGUUAGCAAACUAUGAGGCUGUAACAUCACUGAAAGUUGUCUUAAAAGGGGUCAUGUUUCUUGUUGUUGUUUAUUGAUCUUCACAACUCAUGUGGUUUCCUCACCCAUGUAGGUGAUAGCCGAAUGGUAUACGCGCGAGAUUCAUCUUCCACUCAAACGCCUCACGCCCUGCCCCUCCAGUAGCUGAUUCUUCUUCGACUCUGUCACAUGUGGUAAGCUACUGGUUCCUCUCCUCUGCUCUCUCCCAUACUCUGUGUGCCCACCGCCAUCAAGCCAUGGUGAAUUUGUGUGCAUUAACGAAUGCAUUUCAGAAACAGCUUCAUCCUUGAUUUGUAGUGCACGAAUCAAUUUCUGAAUGGAUCAUCAUUGAUUUGCUUGGGUUGGCGAAUGCUUGGGCAUCGUGUACCAAAUAAACUUGUCUCAUUUUGAGCGUCGGGUCAAGGCCUUUUAUUUGUUGGCUGAUGCAUUGCAUGGGUGUACUGUGUAUGUAUGUAAAGGAGAUGGAUAAAAUUGGUAGUAGUUGUUUUCAGGAAGAUGUUGGCUUUUUUUAUUGAUGAGGGAGAAUAGUAAUCGCAAUUUCAUGGUAUAGGAGGGAGAAUUAACAAGGAGACAAAUUCAUGUUCUUAAAUAGCUCUUUCAGUUUCCUGUCUGCAUGAAAAGUGAGAACUGGAUUUUUAAAUCUUGCCUCGAUUAAAACUGUAUACAACUAAUUCUUGUAUCCAUUCACUUCAAUCUUCACGUUAACAUCUUGCUGGAGUACCGAUUCUUCUCACACGCACUAGACCUCUUAGGUUAUAUAUUUCUCAAGGGCUGCAUUUUAAUCAGACUUUGUUAAUUCCUGCCAAAACUGGUUUUUGAGCUCUAAGUUGUGAAGACUGGCCUCUAGUGCUGCCACUGGAGAACAAGCUUAUAUUGUCAAACUUUUUAUGUUUGGGGUGUUUUGAAGAUCUUUUGUUCAACUGCUUUACAGACACUCAGUUCUAGUUUUUGCCUUAUGUCAUCUCAUAGUAAAAUGAAUACUUUCUGAUACUGUCACCAUUUUAGUGGCCCGUUGAAGCGCUUCAUCUUCCUCGGUUUAGGUGAGCCCUUGGCCUUCAAGCCGACUAUUUUAGCGUUUGGAUCUAUGGUGGUGGGCCAGCCACCACAAUCUUUCUAGUAGAUGAAAUUGUCCAGUUAUAGUUUUAUAGGAUCUGUAUUCUAAGGCUUGGAGUUGUUAAUGGCUUACAAAUAGAACAAAAUGAUUUUAUAUUAUGUUGUGCUGUUGUCUAAUUUGCAAUGGUUGCUCUGCUAGGAUUUGUAGUAGUUAAUGGUUGUCACAUCAAAUAAAAUGAUGUUUUGCUAUGUUUCGAAGGUAUUUGUUUGUACGAUUGCAUAAGAAUAUAGUAGGUACUAUACUCGAUCUUAGUGUUCAACUAUGUAUAUAACCUUGUAGUACAAACUGUGUAUAAACUAUAAAGAUGAAGUCGUCUAGGAUAAAAGCCUAAGUAUGUGAUUUAUGUGGUAGUGGUGCUCGCAAUGGAACUGUCACAUUCUUUUCCUUGAGUUUAUUGAUAAAAUCUGAACAAUUGUUUUUGUAAGCUUGGUGCCUUAACUCCACCACUACCUUGACGCCCACACAGUUGGGCUCCACUUUGAUUUUCAAUAAAAUAUGUUAGUUUGCUCCAGUAUUUUACUAUUCUAGGAUGUUUAGAGUGGCUACUAGAUGUGCUUGGAUCUCCUGCAAACUUAUGUAACUUUUACCAUUUUUGAUAGAGAGAGCAAAUUUAUAGUGAAGCUUGAGAGCAAUUUUCAAUGUUUCAAGUGAAGCUUGGUUUAUCUAUAUUUUGUACUCCCUUCUGUCCAUAAUAUAAGAUUGUUUUGCAAGCUAAAACAGUUUGCAAAACGAUCUUAUAUUAUGGGACAGAGGGAGUAGAUAUUUUUUUGAUUAUUUGCAACUCGCCUUCCUCUGCUCCUCGCCCCUGGUUGGUCUGAGCUUGUGACCAUCGAGCCAGGGCUAUGCCAUGCUAGGGUUUGGCUAUUUAGAGAGAGCCAGGGCUAUGCCAUGAAAGUUUUUACUUUGUUAGUACAGAACAAAUGGGGUCUAUUUGCUUGCUGCUUUAUGGCUAUUUUUUCCCUUGCUUCCAAAAAUUUAAGCAUUAGAGAAUUGUUGGAGGCUUCUCACGCUGACACCUUCAUGUUGAACAUGUAUGGAUUCCGUUAUGCCCUUGUGCUUUUUACCCCCAUGUAUUCAGUGGUACAUGAACCAUUAAAGAACCGAUCCUAGUUAUAUUAACAAGAUAGGUAGCUUAGUUUAGGUUGUCAUGUUGUAAACUUGAAAUUCGUUGAUAGCAUGCGUUUUUUGGUCUACUUGUUGAGUUUCUCAAGUCGCCUCUUGUUGUUUUCUGUUCUAGGCAAUCGGUGACUGGCGUGUUGAUUGGAUCCAAGGGAGGAGCUUAUGGUGUGUUGACACCAGUCUGUCCUUAUCUUGUGGCGUUGACAUCAUAAUCAUGUCCAGCCGAAAGGUAUCCAAUGUUCCCCUCUAAUUGAAAGAAAACUAAUCAGUUUGCCAUGCAGCUCGGCUAUGUCGUUAAAGUUGAUGGACUCACUUUAUAUUCCAAGCCUUCUGUUGUUAUCAUAUUAGAUGGCCUUAAGCCAUAUUUAUUGUAAUAAGUUUUCUUUUGAGACAUUCUAUGUAAUAAGUGUGUAAUUGAUACUCUGUUAUAAAUCCUUCGAGUACUAUGUGUGUCAGCAUUAUCGAUCCAGGGAUGACAUUAAAGCACAGAGACUUGACCGUUUGAGGUCGGAUCGCUACAUUCACCAUAAUCCACCUCGAUCAUAUUGUAGCGGUGCUUAGGCGAAGCCUUGCGUCGGUAGCAUCAUCAUCACCGUCACCACGCCAUCGUGCUGACAAAACUCUCAUGUGAAGCUUUGCUGGAUCGGAGCUCGCAGGACGUCAUCGAGUUGAACGUGUGCAGAACUCGG
This 5375-nucleotide long non-coding RNA is filed under the name Triticum aestivum (bread wheat). RNAcentral describes it as "long non-coding RNA (TAES_LNC001980)". The record is from RNAcentral. Lineage: Eukaryota; Viridiplantae; Streptophyta; Magnoliopsida; Poales; Poaceae.